RNAcentral lists this ribosomal RNA (117 nucleotides) under Acidimicrobiales bacterium. Lineage: Bacteria; Bacillati; Actinomycetota; Acidimicrobiia; Acidimicrobiales. The record is from RNAcentral.
UUCGGUGGCUAUCGCGUUUGGGUCACACCCGUUCCCAUUCCGAACACGGAAGUUAAGCCAAACUGCGCCGAUGGUACUUGGGUGGAUUCGCCCUGGGAGAGUAGGUCGCCGCCGGAU